Molecule: ribosomal RNA, 497 nt
Filed under: uncultured bacterium
Lineage: Bacteria
Description: partial 16S ribosomal RNA
Rfam family: Bacterial small subunit ribosomal RNA
Source: RNAcentral
GAUGAACGCUGGCGGCGUGCCUAAUACAUGCAAGUCGAGCGAACAGAUGAGGAGCUUGCUCCUCUGACGUUAGCGGCGGACGGGUGAGUAACACGUGGAUAACCUACCUAUAAGACUGGGAUAACUUCGGGAAACCGGAGCUAAUACCGGAUAAUAUAUUGAACCGCAGGGAUCAAUGGUGAAAGACGGUUUUGCUGUCACUUAUAGAUGGAUCCGCGCCGCAUUAGCUAGUUGGUAAGGUAACGGCUUACCAAGGCAACGAUGCGUAGCCGACCUGAGAGGGUGAUCGGCCACACUGGAACUGAGACACGGUCCAGACUCCUACGGGAGGCAGCAGUAGGGAAUCUUCCGCAAUGGGCGAAAGCCUGACGGAGCAACGCCGCGUGAGUGAUGAAGGUCUUCGGAUCGUAAAGCUCUGUUAUUAGGGAAGAACAAAUGUGUAAGUAACUAUGCACGUCUUGACGGUACCUAAUCAGAAAGCCACGGCUAACUACGUG